UUCCCUUUAUACAUGUCAUUUUAAUUUUGUUUUAGUAAAGCUGGAAUAUUCUGAUACAAGUUAAAAAGAGAUAUAUUCUUCAUAUUCUUCAAUUAAAAAAAUUGAAAUGCUGCCUUGAACCUAUUAUAAAUGAGAUAAUAUUAUUUUUAUUAGAUUAUGAAACUGAUAAUGCAGAUAAAUCAGUAUUCUUAGAAAUCUAAAGUGCUAGUCUAUAAAAGAUGUUCCUCCAGAAUGCUCUCCAUAGGCAACAGCAAUGAGUAAAGCAGUAUCUUUAUCACAGUGGGAUUUUGGAAGGUCUGUAUUAACUCCAGAAUAACACAACAGCAAAGAAAGGUGUGCUUUUACCAUGCUUAGUGCAGCAUCUACAGCUACACACUUGGGGUGUGUUUCCAUUCUUUCUACUGCACUUUUAAUCAUUUAUGGAAAGCACUUAAGCAGAAAUUUAUCCUUGAUCUAAAUAAGCAGAUAUUAAUGCAUGUGUAUGUUUAUAUGUGUUUAUAGAUAAUUAUUACACACAGUCAGGAAAACUACAGUUUCAUGUUUUAUGUUAAUGAAAUGGUCUUUUAUCUCUAGAUCACAAUAUUAGAGGUGUGCUGGGAACAUGAUGAGCAAAAGGCUCCCUGAGUGCUGCUGCAAAGCUGGUUGGACAUCCUGCCUUGGUUUCAGGCUAGUUUUGAACAGAGGCUUGUCCACUCAUAUUCCAGCAGUCACUUGGGUAACGGGAAUUCUUUCAUUUCCUUACAGAGCCCCUUAGUAAAAGUUUAGGCACAAACUCCACCUUUGAGUUUGGAGUCUGCCUCAUUAAAACAAUGUCUCCUCCCCUUCUGCUAACAAUCAACAGUUUUUUAACACGUCUGUAGUACUUUUUUUCCGUUAUAAAAACAGCAACUUUUUGAGAUAUCAUUUAACAUUCUCCCUGAAUAAUUGAAUUUACUCUUGAUGGGGCUGUCUUUUGUUCUAAGUGGAGAUUGCAAGAAGACACUAUAAAUAUAUAAAUAUCUGCUAAUAAAAGUGUCAGUCAUAACAGUGUUUAGAAUAACUGGGCAAAAUAACUGUGGAUUCUUCCUUACAGUGACAAGAAAUUAUAGAAAAUAACAGUGUUUGUCAGAUUAAUUUGAACAAAUAAUUUAUUGUUAUUUAAACUGUGGUAAGAAGAGGUGCUCUGAAAAUAUACCCAGUUCUUCUAGUGGCCUAAGUUCUUGAAAGGACUUUCUAAUUAAUUUUGAUGUGACUUCAUUAAGUCGCCAUUUCAAGAAGAUAUGCCAAUAUAUUUUCUUGAUCAGUAAUAGAUAAAAACAUUAAAUAUUAGCACCAACAUCAAGCAAAGUAAUACAAGACCCAGCAUAUCACAAAUGAACAAUGUGUAGCUGAGAAAGGAAAAAAUAAGAAUUCAGUACUCCAGGAAAUAAAAAAGUUACACAUCCUUUUCAUGAAGCUUUAAUGACCUUGUUAACAAUUACUUUGAGAAGUUCCAAGUGAGAAUGUCUAAGAUUAAAAAGCAGUAGUGAGCUUAAAGCUAUGUAAAAUGUCCUAUCUAAAGCUGUUAUCAAUUUAAUCAUUCAAACAAAGUAGCAAAUGUUACCAUUUUAUAAACUGGAAUUGCAAGGAGAUUUCUCCUAGAAAACCAUUCAUAUGCUAUAACUUUAGACGUGAUGUAUUACACACAUCAUGUUACAUACUUAUUAUUAUUAUAGUUGUCAGAUGGUGAAUUCUGUCACUUUUUUUCAAGAUAAUACACUUAGAGAUGGCUGUUCUAUAGAGUACAGUAUUUGGAAUGCAUGCAAUGAAUUUCUAGGCCCUUCAAGAACAUGAUAUUGUCUCAAUUUGAAUGGCUGGGAAGAUUCACAUUGACUCUGCUGUGUGUAGGGCUGCACUUUUAACCCAGGCUAAAUUUAAUGAUAUUCCCAUAAAUAACCAAGUCCAGGCAUUGUAGCUCAGCUCACGCAGGCAGAUCCUCAGCUCCAGAGCUCUGAUUAAGUCAACAGGGCUAGACAUCAGUACUGAUCUUGUGUGAUUGGAUUACAGGAUUGGAGCUGUGAUUUGUCCUACUGAAACCACUCUAAGGUACUUAAACAGAUAAAUCCCACUAUCAGAUUUCUUUUCUUAUUGAUUACACUUUCUGAAAUGCAAAAAAAAAAAAAAAAAGCCCAAAACAAAACCAAAAAAAUCCUAACCUUACUUUCUCCAUGUACCAUUAUGAUAAGGUGCAUGUGGGGCUGGAGGGACAACAGAAAUACUUCAAGGGGAAUAAUAGUAGAAGUGUGGUUUUCCUUUUUCACAAAAAGUUGUAAAAUAUUUGUGCUUUAUUUAUUUCCUCUGAGCCCAUUUCCAGUCCUUAGUUAACCCCACCCUCCCUGUGUGAUCUGAACUACUUGACAAUUUCUGUUAUAAAGGAAAAUCAUGUCUAGGUUGCUUCCUGUCUCAAGUUUUAAUUCAUGCCUUCUCAUCCCAUGUUUCUGACAAAAUACCCUAUCAAAUCAAACCAAGAAUAUGUUCAAAACACUCUUUUUUAAUCCUUUGGUCUUUCUGGUUUUCUCUCCAUGAGUUUGUUCCUUGCCUCUCAGGUUUGUAUGUUAGGUUGAGAGGAGUCAUCUUGUGUAUCACAUUAUCUUACCAUGGCACCUGUGAAUAACAAAGAUUGACCAGAAAUAUUUUCACUUAUAAAAUCAUUCUUUUAAACUAAGUAUAGUAACAAUAGCCAUAUACAAAAUGGAAUUAAACCUGUUGUUUCAAUACGGGCCUUUAGAAAAAUCAAUUCCUAUGGGUUGAAAGAGAAACUGUUCAAAAACCCAUUCAGGAAUACCUAGAAUUACUUAUGGAUACCUAAUGGAAAUAUAUUAGAAUUAACUGUAAAUGGAGUGAGUAGCAAAAAAAGCUUGAAGAACUGACUGUAACAAAAUAUCCAGUGAUGGAAGUCUCUGCAAACUUCUGCUUGCCAGCGCUGGCAAGUAAAUAGUUUAGCUAAAAAGAAGGAAAGCAGAAGAUACAGCUAUCAACUGCAAACGAAUUAUUAUAAACCAGAAAGAAAAUGUGAGGAAGAGCUCUGAAAAUUAUGAUUGACAGUGACAACACAGACCAGACAGCUUUUAUUUUAAGCAACAGAUUGUUGGGAACAUACACCGUAUAUCAAAGUGAGGGACUUGAAACCUGCUGUCGUCUGUACAGAUGUUCUCACUCAGAAAGCAGAGGGAACAGAAGAUAAAAGAAGGCUGUCCAACUUCAAAAAAAGGUUUGAAUUUUCAUUCUGUUUUGACAAGUUUUUGUGCUAGUCUCUGAUUUUCAGCGUGAUAGAAAAUUCAGCAUCUACAAACCUGACUUAAAGUGAGAAACACCUGAAGGGGUACAAGAGAACCCUUAAGAAGGUGCUAUACAACAUCAUGAAAUACUUUUUGUUUUACUCUUAAAUGCUUUUAUAUGGAAGGAGGCAGAAAUUGGAAAUGCUGUAACUGUUGUAGAUCUGGAGCAGGUCAUACGUGCUUGCAGUCAGCAUGCAGUACUGGAAUGCAAGGCUAAGGUCUGAGAGGCGAUUUAGGAAUCCCUGCUGCAGAAAAGAUUUUUUUAUGAUACAAAGCAAGACAGGAUUACUGAGCUCAGAAGGGUUAUUUGUGAAUAACUUCCAGCUAAAGUGAUUAAGGGCUUCAGCCACUAGCCCCAGAAAAAAAAAAAAACAACAAAGAGCAUCAGAAACAUCCUGCUUGUCAUUGCUGCUGGCUUUUUGUUCAGUGAGCAAGAGGUCUGUGUUGGUUUUGGUCCUUUGCCCUUGGGGGCACUUUUAACAAAACAUAAUACUUGAAAGAAUUCCAAAAUGUGUUUAUUUUUUUUCUUUUCUUUGAACUACGAGGUUAAAGAUAAAUAAAAGAGUAUUUUGAUAUGUCUAAAAAAUACUUGUGAUAACAAAUAGACAAAGCACUUCCUAACGUUCAAGACUGCAAGUGCACUUUACAAACAUUCCACAAUUCUUGAUAACAAAAUCCCCAUCCAGUACUUUUUUUUUAAAUGUAAAAUAAAGCACUCCAACCUCUUUUAAAAAAUCAUCUAAGAAAUGUGAAUAUCUUCAGCAGAAUCUUUAAUACCUGUGUUUGGUUUAAGGUUUUUGGGUUUUUAAAUUUUAAGUUGCUGUAAUAGCUGCCAGAAAAAGCAAGAGCCAAGAAACAUACUGAAGAGAUAAAUGUUGUGAUGAGUGUGAAUUGGUAAGAGGUUCCUCUGGCAAUCUCAGCUUUGCAGAGAGGAAAUUUGGGCUCCUGUUCAGAUGAGUUACUCUUACAGAAUUUUACAGUAUGAGAUGAACAAAGAGACUACCACAAAGUCUUAGGCCACCAACUUAAAUCCGACUUCAAAGCAUUUCAGAUCCUAAUAGGAAGAGAUUUGGAUAUGCACAGAGCAGCAUGUCUAUUUCUGAAUUUAUUUGCAAAAGCAUUGAGAAUUCCUUAAUAUUCCCCAUUGCAGGUAUCAUGCCCAAUUAUAUAAAUGCAUGCAAAACUACUGAUAAACCAUCUGAAAGUGAUGACAAUAUGAGUAAUUAAGGCUGUAUCACAUCACUGUCAUAGUGGGUGGCUGGAAUAUCGUGGACAAAGGUUACAAUUUACUGUUUCAGGAUCUGCCAUACAAAAAGCCAUGGGGAACCUACAGUGAUGUGGAGGGACUACUCAUAGCACUUUCUUAGCCAUGGAGGUCUAACCAGAUGCCAAAACUUUACAGAACUUUAUUAUAUUUAUUGUAUUCAGUUUUGUCCUCUCUUUUUUUUUCUGUUUGAAUGCUUGUUUUGAGGGACAAUAUGAUCUCAGCAUUCAUCAUUAAGAAAAAUAGUACACAUUAAUUUUGUACUCGGAGUAUCAGCCUUUUCUUCAGGGUUGCCAAUACCAGUUCUUUUCAGAAUACAGCCCAUAAUAAUAACAUUCUUCCUCAAAACUAUCACUUGUGGCAGCAAGGGACUCCAGACCAAAAAAAAAACUAAGUUUUUUGAGUCCAGAAUCAAAAAGUCACCUGAUAGCAGCUCUCAAAAGAGAGAUCUCUGAAGGGUGAAUGGCUUCUGUUUUAAUACAUUUAGUGCUCAACAUUAAACAGAGGAUAAGUGUUUAUUCUACUCCUUUAAUGGGAGUAUUUCAUUCAGCAAAAAAAACAAAAGCUCUGGCACAUCUGUUGAUAUCAUGGUGAUUUUAACUGCAGAGAAGCACCAGCAAUGUUUAUGCUGGAUGAUGCAAGAGUUGCUGUGGCCAUUACAUGUAUUUCCCAUGGUUUGCUUUCCCCUUUAAAAUGAAGCUGUGCUGUAAGACUGGAGCAAAUUAGUCAGGAAAUACCUUGGAACUCCAUUGAAAAUAACUGGCUUGUUAAGGCUUCUUAAAAAAAAAAAGUGUGUAAAAAUGCACAUUAACGAAUACUGUGGCUAACAUCAUUAAACUAGCCUUAAGUUCAAAUACCAGAUUUCCAAGAUCAGGUAUAAGCGUUAAGCCCUUUUAUUCUCACGGAAGUUUUUAAUUUGUUUGGUUUCUGUAAACACACAUCUCUCAAAUUGUACCUCUGAAAAAACCACUCCCUGCCUGACUUCACAUUGUCAGAAACACAGUUUCUUCAAGUACAUCUGUUCAAUUUAUACAGUGAAAAAUUGGAAUGAGAAGCAUCAAAACUACCACUUGUCUUUUAAAAAAGAUUUUUAUUUCUGUUUUUAAAUAGCUUGACAAAACCCAUCCAUUGGUACUCUGAGUUCAAUUGUAAACAGUUACAAUACAUUACCGCUGUGUAUUGAUUUUGUACAUUAACCUACUUGCAGUGACAAUCCAUAAGACAAGGCAAACUGAAAUGCACUGUACUAAGAUGUACUAACAAUGCCAUAACUGAAAAUACUCCAAAGACUGAUGUGUAACUCCCUCCUGUGGUGUGAGUGAGCAGCUUCACAGUCAACAGCUUCUGGCAGCUUGGGGAGCACUCCCGAUAUUCCAAAGUUCAGAUUUCAAGUCUACUAUGGAAACUUCUCUCCCAAGUUAAAAGUGUCACAAUACAUUUUUAAAAUACAUACAAAGUUGUAAACAUAUUUGUCUGGAACAAAAAAAAUGAAUGGUUUGUGCCAGCCUUCUUCACCUCCCACAUUGCAAUAAAAAAUAAUAAUUUAAAAAAAAUAGGGCCAAAGACCAAGGCCAUGGACUAAAAUUGUUCUGCAGGGAUGACAUCACAGUUUACAGGAAGUAUUGAGUAUCAGCUUUGAAAAUCAGUCACCAUCAGGUAGGAGAACCCAUUUUCAAGAAAUGGUUUCACUCAAUUUCAAGUGAUGAAUCAGGCACUAAAUAUUCAAUUUCCCUACUUUUAAGAACAAAAGCGUAAAUUACAUUUAGGAAUUAUGUUUGAUAAUAGCUAAAAUUGACAUAAAAUUAAACUUACACUUUUGCAAGUUUGGGUUUUGACCACUUUUGUUAUCAAGUUUAUAGCAAUCUUCCAUGAAGAAGGAAGGAAUUUGCAAAACAGACUAUACAUAUAUAGAGAUCAUACAAAGAAAAUAAAAUGGACCUUUUCAAGGCAGAUUUUCUUUGUGGAAGUCCUUCUGGUCUUUUUCUAAAAUGCUUUAGCUUUUAAAUUUAUUUUAUUUUUAACAAUGAAAUAUCCAUCUUAGUCUGAAUCUUGUAUCACUAAUUCCAAAAAGACUGAGAUUUUGGGAUGCAGUAGAGGAUUAAUUUCAAAAUACAAUAGGAUUUGCUUUUACCAGUGCAGGCUGGUAAAGGAUAGCAUAAUUCUAGGAGUUCUGUAUUUAUUCUCAUUUUCACACUGUCAGGAGAUUGAUAUCUAUGACCUUGUAAUUUAAAUAUGAGUUGAUCAUAAGUAUCAGUAUAUUCAUAGGUUGAUUUUAAAGUUCUAUCAAGUACAGCUCUUCCUUGAGGAUUAGAGGCUCUACAGUCUAAAAAGGGUUCUCCCCCCACCCUCAGUUACUGGCUGUGCAUCACAGAAACAAGUGGCAGAACACAUUUUAUUCUGUGCAUUCUUAGGGGGAAAAAAAAAGUUUUAAAAUACUCCUGUGAAUGUGCCCUUUAAUUUUUUUGAAAAGUUACACUAAGCUCUAAUCUUAAUGUAUUUUGUAAGCCCCAAAUUCUAGCUGCAAUUCUCAGCUGUCAGAGGUAUCACAUAAUCAAAUUAUAUAUUGGAUUUUAAUUAAAGCAGCUGUUUUGUAGAGGAAAAAAGCAGAAAAAUGUCACAUUGACUACAUACUGCUCUGUCAGUUAUACCACCUGUCAUACAACCUAAUGAGAGAUUAUGGAGUCUUACAUCUCUACAUGGUUUCUGUCAAUUUGUUGUGCAUAAUUAAUUACAGGACAGUGUUUCUGAGGUGGAACAAAAUAUCAGCAUAUGCUUAUGCUGAGAAAUUACAGGGAGAGAACUAUAUGCAUGACCAGGCCAUGAAAACAAAAGAAGCAACCUGUGAAUGAGAUUAUAUAUUAGGAGAGUACAUACAGGCUUGCCUCUUCCAAAAAUUAAAUGUUUAUACCUAUAAGGGGCAAAGAUAGAGAGAAGAAGAAAGGAAGCAAACUUUGGCAAAAUUUAAGAAAGUGCUGUCUUUGUAGCCCUAAUAAUAACUUUUAAAAAAAGAGAAAUAAACCACAAACAACAAACCACCAAACCUCAAACAACAGCAAAACCAAAUCCAACACUGAAAAAGCAAAAGGCUAAAAAAUGUCUACAGCUAGAACUGUCCCCUGUGCAGGAUGAUGCAGACACACGAUUGCUAAGAUUGCACUGGCUAAAACCACAUGGAGAAGUAACAGCACCAUCUCUACUGCAUUUAGCACUGCAACAUCAGAAAGUAAAUAAGCAUUUGCAUAAGCAUCCCAACAUCAUACUGUGCUAAAACACUUUAUCUGCAUGCAGAGCUCUGUGCACACACAUUUAAAAGUAUAUUUUCUUUUCAAAGCAGUACACCAUGUAGUAAAUUUUCACUCAAGUGUAACUACUAGGAAAUUGUCUAAAUAUUGAGUAUUUUCUUAUUUCUGUUCUAAUGGCAGAAAUAAAACUUUGCUGUGUAGUGCAGGGAGGAUCUGGACGCUAAUGAAUGAAAAUUUAUAUAGCACAAGUUGUUUAGCAGAACCCUGACACUUUGCUUAGAAAUAACCUCUUUCUAGAGAAGGAUGAGAGACAAAAAUACAGAAAUACAAAGGCAACUCCUGGUUGAGUAUAAAGGUCCCUUACCCUACUAAGAAUGUUAUUUUUUUGUACUAUAAUAAUCAUCUGAGACAGCCCUAACAGCACAUUAACUCAGUUUUCCACAUUGGACAUAGUGAGGCCAUGAAACUCCACACAAACUGGUUCUUGGCCAGGACUCCUUCCAUCUUUUGAGAUGAGUUAAUAUCAAAACAUCUGUAAGAAGAGAACAACGUCCUAAACCAUAGUGUUAGAUUUAACUAUAUUUUCAAAGGAUGGAUGCCAUCCUUCAGGUUCCUUAUUCUCUCUGCAGACAGGAAAAGCCAUUUAAACAUUGUCUCAGUCAGGGCAGGCAGUUCUCUUAGUGCAAGAACAGCAUUUCAAUCCAUGGCCUCCCCAGGUUUAAAGUGCAGUAUAUUACAUGAGAUUUUAACAUACCAAACUAUCCUUUAUUUGAAUUUCAGAAGGAAUGUUCAAGUUAAAAUUACCUUUUAGGUUUCAAGCAAUAAAAUUCAAGGCAAGUUACAUGAACUAUCUUAAAAUGGAUUAAAUCCACUUACUUAAGUAUUCUUUGUAUCUUAUGUUCAAUAUACAUGUAAUACACAACAAACAUCCAUAAUUUCACUUAGUUAUAUUGUAUUUAAAGUGAUCCUGUAAUAAGUGAUGAAAGGCCACACACUCAAACAAGAUUUUGCUUAAAACAGGACUGUAUUAGCUGGACUGUGAUCCAUAACACAGUUCAAUAUUCCAAGAUCUCCUCCUCCAUAGGCUUGUCAAUAAGGAGAAGGCACUCUGCUGUACACACAUUUAAAUUCGAGUUUAUUGGUGGUGUCUCUAAUGUUUCAUUUUCCCCCCCUUUGAAAUCACCACGAAAAAAAAAGGUGCAUUAAAAACUGGAUUGAUGUUUUUAUGCCUUUAGCUACUCCUCUUGCCUAUUAACCUGACAAUCUCACCUACAAGUUGCUAGAACUAUGGUUCCCAAAACAUGUAGAUCCGAAAUGAGACACAGCAGAGAAUGUUCCAGGCCAAACCAGUCAGCUGCACAAACAAGAUCUCAAGUAACAACUGCAGGUACAGCUGUGCCAAUUGAUCCUUUGUACAGGAGGUCCAAGCACCCACGUUUUGGGUGCAGGACUGUGUUCAUGCACAUCUUAAGGUAAGGCUCACCAUACAGGGAGGGUAUGGCUGUACCUAUGGAGCUGCAUAGAGAGAUUAAUAUGGACUUACACAACGUUGUCUUUAGCAAUCAAGCCAGCCUAAACAGGCUUCAACCCCUCCCUGCCUUCAUUCCUCUGCCUUCAGCUCUGCCAAGUGUUUUUUCGGGUCAAGAUACAGGCAGACAGCAGCUUAACACUAACUCCAAGCCAGAGACAUUUGGAGAAGUGUCUUUGUUUCUGGUGUUCUGGGAUGUGAGAUCCACAUCCCUUCAGGAAUCUUGAACCUCUGCAACACCACAUGUUAAAUUGUGUUAAUACCACUCACACAAGGCUGAUAAAUUCCAGCAGUGGAGAUGAGAGUGAAUAGCUUGACUAAGAGGGAACUGUUGCUGUCAGGGUAAUUACUUAAAAUACAUAAUCCAGUAUUAUUUUGAGGCUUUUGGUCACUUUGUGACAGAUAAUUGCAUGGUCAAAGGUCUACAAGUUAAACAAUCAUUUAAAUGCACACCAGGGAAAGUUAUUUUCUAAAUUAAAGUAAGUGGCUUUUCAUCUCUUUUAGCAUCCAAAAGAAAGAAUCAGCCAAUGGGGAUCAUGAAACGCAACAUACCAUUUAACAUAAAAACUAAUAUAUCUUAUUUUCAGCAUUCAAGAUUUUAAAACUUCAACACUUCUCUCCCUAAGACUGAUAACCAGCAUCUUAUCUUCAUAAUCAAGGACUUCUCUACACAUGUGUGCUAACAGUCCAAUAACCACCACACUGGAAAUUCUGCUGGCUUUCCAGAAGCCACAGGUUUUUAUUAUACUGCAAAUUUCCCAGACAGAAUUGUGCAAAACGUACAAAAUUGUCUCCUGGGCAGCAGGAGCUGAAGUCUCCAGAAAUGCUACGAGCUUCUUCCAGCCAGCCUGUCACUGAAAUGCCACCAAUGCAGUGAGAAACCCUAUUGAGACUGUCUUGCCCAGAAGAAAAAUGCAGAUGAAAUGAAUCCUUCCAAGGAGCAGCUGCACUUGAGUUCAUCCCUGCUGUUUCACUGAAACUCAGAGGCAUUUCCUUGCCAACAGAAGACAGAGGUAUGGUAUUACAGAGAGAACAAUUCCUGGUGUUACAUAAUUCUUGUAAACUGCUACUAUGAGUUUGAGAACUGUCCAACAUGGAAUGCAUGUGUGUCAGAUGAGCUGCCGGCUUAUGAUCAUCUGGGCCAUUGUCACAUACUCGUUUCUGGGUAAAGUCUUCUUUCUUCAUAGUCCUAGAGCACAGCUUUGCUGCUUCUCAACAGGCUGGAUUUGAAGUGUGACUGACUGUAGUUGCAGCAUACAGCAGAAGCAGCACACCAAGUCACAAGUCAAUGGAUCUCAAUAUGGACCUAAAGAGAGAGAAUGCAGGGAGUUAAUACACUGAUACCCCAGUUUCCUGGUUCCCAGUGUAUUGAACCAAAAAUAAUUUUAAAUCUUUCACAUUAAGAAUAACCCAGCUACAGAAAGUAACAGUUGUCCCAACAGACGAGUCUCCCUACAGGCUGCUUGAGCACAUCCAGAGGGGUAGGAAGUACGCCCAAAUACCAGCUGCCCUUCUGUAGUUCAGUUUAAUCUGCUACAAAUUCUCUUUUGGUGACAGGCAUGAAAGUGAGUCAGCAAACGAGCAGCCAGAGGGAUCUGCUGUGUAACAGCAGCAUUUCAUUUAACCAAUAGAAAAGCAGGCUGGGAUUGAUUAGGGGCUUAACAUAAAAGGUUAAUAUUAAAGUAAUCCUCCUGUAAACAGAAGUGCAAGCUGAAAUCAGACACACAGCACUGGAAAUCAACAGCUUCCCAGAGGGAACUGGUCAGACUGGCUGCCCCAGCAGUUAGCGGGUGUCAGCUGUAGCACAAAGGACAAGCUGGUGGUGUUCCAGGAGAACCAUUCUGUUCAACACCGAUAAUGAGCAAAGACAAGGCUUUUUCAGCUACCAAGGUUACUAGGCUACGUGUACAACUCCUGGCCAUCUGGCUCAUUUUCAGGCUUCAGAACUGUGGGCAAAUCCCAAAAACAAAAAUAGAAGAUGCCACAUUUUGGUCUCUUCCCAUUUCAAAUUAUCUUUUACCAGUAACAAACUCCCACCAGACUUGUUUUUCAACCCUUGGCUACUGGCCAGAUGUCAAAACUUUGAUUACAGCUAUGUUUACGAGGAGAAAGUGUCCAAUUCUUGGCUAGAACAGUUGUUUGUAGUGACAGUGCACAGCCUGCUUUUGUUGCCAGUUAAGUUAAAAGCAAAUCUCAUUUCAUCACAAAAACAACGAAACUUCAACCCCACAACAGGUCAAAGCUGUGUUAGAGAGUUCCACAUUUUGUAGAAACAGGCUCAAAACAGAAGAGAUACAAAUUAAAUCUGAACCGUCUUUUUCAUGCAAUAAACUUGUAUUUAAAACUGUC
Molecule: long non-coding RNA, 11679 nt
Organism: Oenanthe melanoleuca
Lineage: Eukaryota; Metazoa; Chordata; Aves; Passeriformes; Muscicapidae
Exons: 2
Source: RefSeq, a predicted model, not a curated record